AGACGUCUACAUUAGAUACCCGUGUAGUCCCAGCCGUAAACUAUGCGCGUUAGGUGUAUCGGUGACCACGAGUUACCGAGGUGCCGAAGGGAAACCGUGAAACGUGCCGCCUGGGAAGUACGGUCGCAAGGCUGAAACUUAAAGGAAUUGGCGGGGAGCACCACAACAGGUGGAGCCUGCGGUUUAAUUGGACUCAACGCCGGACAACUCACCGGGACGACAGCAAUAUGUAGGCCAGGCUGAAGACCUUGCCUGAAUCGCUG
RNAcentral lists this ribosomal RNA (263 nucleotides) under uncultured archaeon. RNAcentral's name for it is "partial 16S ribosomal RNA". It matches the Rfam family "Archaeal small subunit ribosomal RNA", at positions 717 to 982 of the family's 1478-position model. The record is from RNAcentral.